This 668-nucleotide ribosomal RNA is filed under the name uncultured fungus. Its description in RNAcentral is "eukaryotic LSU rRNA". It matches the Rfam family "Eukaryotic large subunit ribosomal RNA", at positions 24 to 664 of the family's 3401-position model. The record is from RNAcentral. Lineage: Eukaryota; Fungi.
CCCGCUGAAAUUCAGCAUAUCUAUAAGCGGCGGAAAAGAAACUAACAAGGAGUCCCUUAGCUGCUGCGAGUGAAGCGGCAAAAGCGCUUAUUUAAAAGCUGGGGGACUUUGGGGGGCCGCGUUGUUAUUAACAGUAGCGUCUGCCGCGCUGGACCGUGUACAAGUCUCCUGGAAUGGAGCGUCACAGAGGGUGAGAAUCCCGUCUUUGGCAUGGACACACCGGGGCUUUUGUGAUGCGCUCUCGAAGAGUCGAGUUGUUUGGGAAUGCAGCUCAAAAUGGGUGGUGAACUCCAUCUAAAGCUAAAUAUUGGCGAGAGACCGACAGCGAACAAGUACCGUGAGGGAAAGAUGAAAAGCACUUUGGAAAGAGAGUGAAACAGUCCGUGAAAUUGUUGAAAGGGAAACGCUUGAAGUCAGUCGCGUCGACCGAGACUCAGGCCUCGCCUCGGCUUGGUGUACUUCUCGGCUGACGGGUCAGCAUCAAUUUCGCCUCCUGGAUAAUGGCGGGGGAAAUGUGACACCUUCACGGUGUGUUAUAGUCUCUCGUCGCAUGCAAGGGUCGGGAUUGAGGAACUCAGCACGCGGCCUUCGGGUGUCGGGGCUUUUGCCCACGAUACGUGCUUAGGAUGUUGGCGUAAUGGCUUUAAACGACCCGUCUUGAAACACGG